AUGAACGCUGGCGGCGUGCCUAAUACAUGCAAGUCGAGCGAACGGACGAGAAGCUUGCUUCUCUGAUGUUGCGGCGGACGGGUGAGUAACACGUGGAUAACCUACCUAUAAGACUGGGAUAACUUCGGGAAACCGGGGUUAUAACCGGAUAUAAUUUUGAACCCCAUGUUUCAAAAGUGAAAAAGGGCUUUGUGGUCACUAUUAAAUGGUGCCGCGCUGCAUUAGCUAGUUGGUAAGGUAACGGCUUAUCAAGGCAACGAUGCAUAGCCGACCUGAGAGGGUGAUCGGCCACACUGGAACUGAGACACGGUCCAGACUCCUACGGGAGGCAGCAGUAGGGAAUCUUCCGGAAUGGGCGAAAGCCUGACGGAGCAACGCCGCGUGAGUGAUGAAGGUCUUCGGAUCGUAAAACUCUGUUAUUAGGGAAGAACAUAUGUGUAAGUAACUGUGCACAUCUUGACGGUACCUAAUCAGAAAGCCACGGCUAACUACGUG
This 495-nucleotide ribosomal RNA is filed under the name uncultured bacterium. Its description in RNAcentral is "partial 16S ribosomal RNA". It matches the Rfam family "Bacterial small subunit ribosomal RNA", at positions 29 to 507 of the family's 1533-position model. The record is from RNAcentral.